UCACAAAGAGCUACAGUAUGUUCACAACACAUGCAGGAUCAAUACCGAUCGGGAUGCGCGCAGGAACCAUGUAACAGGAAGCUCGAGAGGGCUUAUAAUAGGAUGCUCAUAAGAGCUAUGGCGUGUCUGCAACAUAUGCAGGACUACAACCAAUAGGGGAAAUCCUGUAUCCAUCGAAUUUCAUUUAUUCAAACGGGACUUAGCACUUGUCAGACAUUAUCGGAUAUGUGAUUAAUGUUUAUACAUGACAAUCAUACAUUUCACAAUCUUAACAUUCAAUUUAAACAUAUAACAUGC
RNAcentral lists this long non-coding RNA (297 nucleotides) under Gossypium raimondii (Peruvian cotton). RNAcentral's name for it is "long non-coding RNA (GRAI_LNC006706)". The record is from RNAcentral. Lineage: Eukaryota; Viridiplantae; Streptophyta; Magnoliopsida; Malvales; Malvaceae.